UUCACACUUUAGUACUCUGUUAUUUAAACUGGGGAAAACUUCAAAAACCCCCCUGUGGUUUCGUGCAUUCUCACUUUGCUACCCUGUGGUUUAAAACGUAUCAAUUUACCCCCCUGUGGUUUCAUUUUUAUCUUUUCGAAAGCUUUUUCGUUAAUAUUUCGUUAAAUUAUAUACAAAAAACUUCAGAUAACCAUCUAUAUUUAUCGAAUAGUCACUUUAGUAUCCUUUAAUUUUAACUUUGUCACUGAUUUAAAAAAAUAUAAUAAUAAAAUUGAUAACAAAAAGAUAAAAACGAAACCACAGGGGGGCAAAUUGAUACGUUUUAAACCACAGGAUAGCAAAGUGAGAAUGCACGAAACCACAGGGGGGGUUUUUGAAGUUUUCCCUUUAAACUGUAUCGAAUUAGUACUCUGUAGUUUUAUUUUUAUUUUUUUAUUAUCAAUUUAACUAAUUUUUUUUAUUAAAUUAAUGACAAAGUUAAAACUAAAGGAUACUAAAGUGAAUAUUCAAUAAACUUAUAUGGAGUAUCUGAAAUUUUUUGUAUAUAUAAUUUAACAAAAUUUUAACGAAAAGCUGACGAAAAGAUAAAAAUGAAACCACAGGACAUUAACCCACAGGACAUUAAAGUGAGAAAGUGCGAAACCACAGGGAUGGUAUUUGAAGUUUAUCCUAUUAUAUAUCAAUUUUAUUUUUGUCCAAGAGUCAUGAUUCUCUUUUCUAGAAUUUAAUUUAUUUUUUUGAAUUGUAGUAUUAAAAAUAUCGAAUAAUUUUUUAAUUUUUAAACUAAAGGUAAAAUUAAUACGUGACAGAGAAUCAGAAACUUUUUCUUUAGGC
Molecule: long non-coding RNA, 834 nt
Filed under: Ananas comosus (pineapple)
Lineage: Eukaryota; Viridiplantae; Streptophyta; Magnoliopsida; Poales; Bromeliaceae
Description: long non-coding RNA (ACOM_LNC023619)
Source: RNAcentral